This 485-nucleotide ribosomal RNA is filed under the name uncultured bacterium. RNAcentral describes it as "partial 16S ribosomal RNA". It matches the Rfam family "Bacterial small subunit ribosomal RNA", at positions 28 to 523 of the family's 1533-position model. The record is from RNAcentral.
GACGAAUGCUGGCGGCGUGCUUAACACAUGCAAGUCGAACGGUGAAAGCGGAGCUUGCUCCGCUGGAUCAGUGGCGAACGGGUGAGUAACACGUGGGCAACCUGCCCCUCACUUCGGGAUAACUCCGGGAAACCGGGGCUAAUACCGGAUAUGACCUCCUUGGGCAUCCUUGGAGGUGGAAAGUUUUUCGGUGAGGGAUGGGCCCGCGGCCUAUCAGGUUGUUGGUGGGGUAGUGGCUUACCAAGGCGACGACGGGUAGGCGGCCUGAGAGGGCGGACGGGCAAACUGGGACUGGGACACGGCCCAGACUUCUACGGGAGGCAGGCGUGGGGAAUAUUGCGCAAUGGGCGAAAGCCUGACGCAGCAACGCCGCGUGCGGGAUGACGGCCUUCGGGUUGUAAACCGCUUUCAGCAGGGAAGAAGCCGCAAGGUGACGGUACCUGCAGAAGAAGCACCGGCUAACUACGUGCCAGCCGCCGCAGUAA